UCACUUGUCAAGAACUUUCGCUGUGACUUGCGUGCUUUGCAAUAUCGCAUCACAGUCUGAGUUCUUGCUGAGCGU
RNAcentral lists this microRNA precursor (75 nucleotides) under Drosophila busckii. RNAcentral describes it as "mir-11 microRNA precursor family". It matches the Rfam family "mir-11 microRNA precursor family". Lineage: Eukaryota; Metazoa; Arthropoda; Insecta; Diptera; Drosophilidae. The record is from Rfam by way of RNAcentral.